UGGGGAAUAUUGGACAAUGGGCGAAAGCCUGAUCCAGCAAUGCAGCGUGUGUGAAGAAGGCCUGAGGGUUGUAAAGCACUUUCAGUAGGGAAGAUAAUGACGGUACCUACAGAAGAAGCACCGGCUAACUCCGUGCCAGCAGCCGCGGUAAUACGGAGGGUGCAAGCGUUAAUCGGAAUUACUGGGCGUAAAGCGUACGUAGGAUGUGAUGCAAGUCGGAUGUGAAAUCCCCGGGNUUAACCUGGGAACUGCAUUCGAAACUACAUUACUAGAGUGUAGUAGAGGUAAGCGGAAUUUCGGGUGUAGCGGUGAAAUGCAUAGAUAUCCGAAAGACAUCAGUGGCGAAGGCG
RNAcentral lists this ribosomal RNA (350 nucleotides) under uncultured bacterium. Its description in RNAcentral is "bacterial SSU rRNA". It matches the Rfam family "Bacterial small subunit ribosomal RNA", at positions 355 to 723 of the family's 1533-position model. The record is from RNAcentral.